UCCAUAGACAGCUCAGCUGGUAGAGCAUGAGACUCUUAUUCUCAGGGUCAUGGGUUAGAGCCCCAUGCACUGCAGGAG
Molecule: non-coding RNA, 78 nt
Organism: Podarcis lilfordi (Lilford's wall lizard)
Lineage: Eukaryota; Metazoa; Chordata; Lepidosauria; Squamata; Lacertidae
Source: the annotation of a GenBank genome assembly